AGUUCAUUUAAAUUUCUACCCUAUCAACUUUCGACGGCUAGGUCUUAACCAGCUAUAGUAAUAACGGGUAACGGAGGGUUAGGGCUCGACCCCGGAGAACGAGCCUAAGAAAUAGCUAUUAUAUCUAAGGAAGGUAGCAGGCGCGUAAAUUACCUAAUACCGAUCGGUAAGGUAGUAACGAUAAAUACUAAUAUAAGGCUCUUUUAGGUCUUAUAAUUGGAAUAAAUAUAAUUUAAAUCCCUUAAUAAGGAAUAAUUGGAGGGCAAGUCUGGUAUUAAUAGCCGUGGUAAUUCUAGCUCCAAUAGCGUAUAUUAAAGUUGUUAUAGUUAAAAAGCUCGUAGUUG
This 344-nucleotide ribosomal RNA is filed under the name uncultured fungus. RNAcentral describes it as "bacterial SSU rRNA". It matches the Rfam family "Eukaryotic small subunit ribosomal RNA", at positions 292 to 636 of the family's 1831-position model. Lineage: Eukaryota; Fungi. The record is from RNAcentral.